Molecule: small RNA, 28 nt
Filed under: Bombyx mori (domestic silkworm)
Lineage: Eukaryota; Metazoa; Arthropoda; Insecta; Lepidoptera; Bombycidae
Description: ovarian small RNA-19870
Source: RNAcentral
UAAUUACGGCGCACAGCCGUCCGCUUGC